This 510-nucleotide ribosomal RNA is filed under the name uncultured bacterium. RNAcentral's name for it is "partial 16S ribosomal RNA". It matches the Rfam family "Bacterial small subunit ribosomal RNA", at positions 28 to 507 of the family's 1533-position model. The record is from RNAcentral.
GACGAACGCUGGCGGCGUGCUUAACACAUGCAAGUCGAACGAAGAGCGACUGAAGCUUGCUUCUAUCAAUCUUAGUGGCGAACGGGUGAGUAACGCGUAAUCAACCUGCCCUUCAGAGGGGGACAACAGUUGGAAACGACUGCUAAUACCGCAUACGAUCUAACCUCGGCAUCGAGGAUAGAUGAAAGGUGGCCUCUACAUGUAAGCUAUCACUGAAGGAGGGGAUUGCGUCUGAUUAGCUAGUUGGAGGGGUAACGGCCCACCAAGGCGAUGAUCAGUAGCCGGUCUGAGAGGAUGAACGGCCACAUUGGGACUGAGACACGGCCCAGACUCCUACGGGAGGCAGCAGUGGGGAAUCUUCCGCAAUGGACGAAAGUCUGACGGAGCAACGCCGCGUGAGUGAUGACGGCAUUCGGGUUGUAAAGCUCUGUUAAUCGGGACGAAAGGCCUUCUUGCGAAUAGUGAGAAGGAUUGACGGUAACGGAAUAGAAAGCCACGGCUAACUACGUG